Sus scrofa (pig) is the source of this 3395-nucleotide long non-coding RNA. RefSeq lists it as uncharacterized. The record is from RefSeq and is a predicted model, not a curated record. Lineage: Eukaryota; Metazoa; Chordata; Mammalia; Artiodactyla; Suidae.
AGAGGAAGAAAAUACAAAACAAGAGCUCUGAAUAUCUCUAGCUCACAAGAUGAUUAUAUUUAUUACUCUGUCAUGAUAAAACAACACUCUGAGAACACAGUGGUUUUGUAUUUGUUUACAUAGUGAGUCAUUCUCUCAGUGUCUUGUCAUUACUGGGUGCUAGUAAAACUGUGUCUGGGUGCUCAGAGUAAAAUGAGCAAGGAUCUCUAUUAGAAGACGAUUCACCAUGACCAGAUCCAAGGCAAUCUUCUACUGAUAACUGCAAUUUUAAAGGCAAAAUAUUAUUUUCCAAGUUUAUUUGAGGGAAGCAACAGACCUUAUUAGGUAUCUUCAUCUGGAGUCUUAGGUGAAAAGAUCAGUUUUCCAUCAAUGAGAAGAAAUCCCUUUCCCAGGUGGAUAUUAUAUCCCCUUUGACAGGCACCCGAACACUGACACUGAGUGAUCAGGUACAGCAAGACUCUCCAACACAGCAGAGACAGGUGUUUACAAAAGAGUAGAAAAUGGAAGUGGGUUCUUAAAAUUAGGAGGAGAUAGCUGUAAGAAAGAAAACAAUGGCCCAAAUGCCCCAUGGGAUUUAAUGCUGCAUAGAGGUUACGUUAGCCACAUGCACAUCCUGAGGAAGAGGCUUUGGAUAAGUCUGCCUGAACCAGUGCUGCCAAGAGUGGAAGGGAUGGGAGAAGAUGCUUCUCCAAAGGAAGUAAGAGAAAGAGGACUGCGUGCUUAAAAAACAAACCUAUAGCUGUCUUUUCACAGUGUUUAUCAGAACGUGUUUCAAUUUUCUAUCUUCCUCACUAAAGCCAAGCCCGAUGUGUCACAUCCUUAUGUCCCUUCAUCAUUUACUCAUCUAGCUCAUAUUUUUUUUUUUUUGAGAAUUUUCUCUAUAAUGGGAACUUUACUAAAUCCUGAAGACACAAUGAUGGAUAAGGUAAACGGGUUUUCUGGCCUCAUAGAACCUACAGUCUAUGGUUGAGAUAGACAAGAAAAAAAAUGUAAGUUUUAUGAAAGGAGAAAUACAAAGUUCUAAGAUCCUAGAGAAGCCUAGAACAGAGAGCCUUAAUGUACAUGAGGGAAUCAGGAAGGCUCUCUCAAUUAAGGGAGAGUUACAGACAUAAUUGUAGAUAUAGAGCUUAAUAAAUGCUCCUUAAAUGAGAAAAUAAAUAACUACUUUGGGGGCUAUUUUAAUUGGUUAGAAUGAUAUCUCAUGAUGUAGGUCUUUUCAUUUGGCAGAAUACCCACACAUUAAUUUCCUCACACACCAUGUACUCUCUCUCUCUACAUAUAUAUCUAUGUGUAUAACUGUAGAUAUACAUAUAUGCACAAUAUACUAUCCAUCUAUUUACCUUCCCUUAUAAACUUUUGAGGAAUAUGUACACUUUUGAGGAAGUUUAAAAGACCAAGAAGGUAAGAGUUGCCCGGGAGGAAAGAGACGCUAUGUCUUGCAAGCCUGGUGAAAUGAGCAGGGGUUGCAUCAAAAAGGAUCAUGUUGCAAAGCCAAUGGUUUAAGAUACCAGGAGCCCCUGGAAGGUUUUAAUCUAGGAAACAUCUUUGCUUUUUGGAAAGUUCCCUUGGCUACAGCAUGAAGAAUGAAUUGCAAGGGAGUAGGUAUUAGGAGUGGAAACCAUGAGACCAGUUAGUCUCUAAACAGAGUCCUCCUAAAUGAAUGAAUAAAGGGUCACUUUUGGCCACAUCGUUUAUGAUGGAUUAUAAGUGAUAAAAGUGUUAGUUUAUUUAUGGUUUUCAUUUUGUAACACACUUUCACAUUUAUCCCCUCGCUUUCGGUGGAUUGGUCAUGUCAAGGGGCACAGCCUAAGCCACGUGCUCAAAGCCACAAGACUAGUAAUGGGCAGGUCUCUGACUUCUCAUCUGGGGUUCAAAGGGACAUGGGAACUAAAUCCAUCACUCAUCAUCAUUUCUUUCUGUGGAAGGUGGCAGCUUGAAAGAGCACAACUUGGAACACUUCCUCUGCUAUUGAUUUGCAGUAUAACCUUUGUAAGUCAUGUCCCAGAGAAUUUUUGCUCCCUCCCAUCUGUAAAGGGGGUGCUAAUAAAAUUUUCUGUGCUUUCACUCAGUGGGAUAAUUAUACUAAUCAGAUGAGAAACUGUGUGUGCAAGUGCUUUGUGAAUUCAUUCAUUCAUUAAAAUGUAUUAAGGGUCUGUUAUAUGCCAGGAAGUAAACCACAUAUUGGGGAUAUACAUACAAAUGAGACACAAAAUCUCUCACCUGGCUAAACAAAACAAAGGCAAAUGAUAAUUAGAACAUGGCAUGGAAGUCGUUAUAAAGGUUAAGGAUGCUGUGGUAGGCACCAGGCGGAAUCCUCAGUUCGUGUGGGGAUGAGGCAUUAUCAGAAAGAGAGGCUUACAUGCAGAGAUAGUCGAAUUUAAAUGAACACACCACUCCUAAUAUUUCGUUUUCCAGUAAUAUUUUCAAUUAUUAUUCUUGCUAUUUUAUUGUGAACUGGUAUUAAAGUAUGUGCUAUCACUGUUUUAUUAUUAGCCACAUGAAAGAGGGCCAUUAAAAAGUCUGUUUAGAUUAUUUCAGCACAUAGGUAUGGGGAGACUUCCCGGGAAUGUGUCUGCAGACUCCUCUGCAGAUGGUUCCCAGCAAGAGGGUAAAUUCCUUUCCAGAGGGAACCAAAAUGCAGCAGCUGGCAUUUCUGAUACUCGCAUACCUGUCAAUUUUUACCCCAAAUCUACUUCCUCUGUGUACAUGCUAUAAAUCACCUGGAUUUUAUUAGGGAGACAUUAUGCUUCUUAACAAGGUAACACCUUCAGGAGGUGAGACUGUUUGCCUCUGCCACGAGUAAAUGACAUUUAAAAAAUGUUCUCUGAGAUGGUGCAGAGGUAAGAUCAAAUGGAUUGAAAUACAUGGCAGCGAGCUCUUUUCUUCUUUUAUGAACCAGAUCUUGUUAUUAUUUGUGUGUGUGUGUGUGUGUGUGUGUGACCCUCUUGCUUACAUGUGGGCUCUGAAAGACUGUAAACUUGAAAUCAGUGAAGCCACAAGUGGUAUAGUCUACUUUCAAAAGCAAGUAUUAGUUUGCUUGCUUGACCACCCAGAUCUCCUUUUCCUUUAUGUUUUCUUUCCUUUCUUUCCUUCUUUCUUUUUUUAUGGCAGAGCUUAUAAGAAUAAGGACAAACUAAGAAAAAGAAAACUUAGAUUAAAGCAACCUGUUAUCAUAUGAUUAAAUGAAAGAAAAAGUAUUUUUAAAAAAGUAAUACACGCUGGAAGUUAAAGCCAGUGGGUCUACCAAAAGACCUCCACAGAAAGUAUAGGAACUAAUAAAUAAAAUCAGGAAAGUUGCAGGAUAAAAAAAAAAUCAAUAGACAAAAUCAGUUGCAUUUCUAUACACAGAAAGAGAAAUUUAAAAAUCAGUCACAUUUAUUAACCUCAAGCUCCCA